RNAcentral lists this ribosomal RNA (256 nucleotides) under Clostridioides difficile. RNAcentral's name for it is "partial 23S ribosomal RNA". It matches the Rfam family "Bacterial large subunit ribosomal RNA", at positions 1319 to 1571 of the family's 2925-position model. Lineage: Bacteria; Bacillati; Bacillota; Clostridia; Peptostreptococcales; Peptostreptococcaceae. The record is from RNAcentral.
GGGUGAGAAUCCCACAGGCCGUAAACCCAAGGUUUCCAGGGGAAGGUUCGUCCGCCCUGGGUUAGUCGGGACCUAAGCUGAGGCCGAAAGGCGUAGGGGAUGGACAACAGGUUGAUAUUCCUGUACUACCGAUAACCGUUUGAGAGAAGGGAUGACACAGGAGGAUAAGCUAAGCACACUGUUGGUUAUGUGUGCCCAAGCAUUGAGGCAGUCAAAGUAGGCAAAUCCGCUUUGAUAAUGCUGGGAUGUGAUGGGG